AGAGUUUGAUCCUGGCUCAGGAUGAACGCUGGCGGCGUGCUUAACACAUGCAAGUCGAACGGGAAUGUUUCGCUGAUGCGAUUUCGGUCAAAUCUUGAAGCAUUUUAGUGGCGGACGGGUGAGUAACGCGUGGGUAACCUGCCCUGUACAGGGGGACAACAGUUGGAAACGACUGCUAAUACCGCAUAAGCGCACAGCUUCGCAUGAAGCAGUGUGAAAAACUCCGGUGGUACAGGAUGGACCCGCGUCUGAUUAGAUAGUUGGUGAGGUAACGGCCCACCAAGUCAACGAUCAGUAGCCGGCCUGAGAGGGCGAACGGUCACAUUGGGACUGAGACACGGCCCAAACUCCUACGGGAGGCAGCAGUGGGGAAUAUUGCACAAUGGGGGAAACCCUGAUGCAGCGACGCCGCGUGAGUGAAGAAGUAUUUCGGUAUGUAAAGCUCUAUCAGCAGGGAAGAAAACAAUGACGGUACCUGACUAAGAAGCCCCGGCUAACUACGUGCCAGCAGCCGCGGUAAUACGUAGGGGGCAAGCGUUAUCCGGAUUUACUGGGUGUAAAGGGAGCGUAGACGGUAGACCAAGUCUGAAGUGAAAGCCCGGGGCUCAACCCCGGAACUGCUUUGGAAACUGGUAAACUAGAGUGCAGGAGAGGUAAGUGGAAUUCCUAGUGUAGCGGUGAAAUACGUAGAUAUUAGGAGGAACACCAGUGGCGAAGGCGGCUUACUGGACUGUAACUGACGUUGAGGCUCGAAAGCGUGGGGAGCAAACAGGAUUAGAUACCCUGGUAGUCCACGCCGUAAACGAUGAUUACUAGGUGUCGGGGAGUUAAACUCUUCGGUGCCGCAGCAAACGCAAUAAGUAAUCCACCUGGGGAGUACGUUCGCAAGAAUGAAACUCAAAGGAAUUGACGGGGACCCGCACAAGCAGUGGAGUAUGUGGUUUAAUUCGACGCAACGCGAAGAACCUUACCAAGUCUUGACAUCCUGUGACAGACGUAGAAAUACGUUCUUCCUUCGGGACACAGAGACAGGUGGUGCAUGGUUGUCGUCAGCUCGUGUCGUGAGAUGUUGGGUUAAGUCCCGCAACGAGCGCAACCCUUAUGGUCAGUUACUACGCAAGAGGACUCUGGCCAGACUGCCGUUGACAAAACGGAGGAAGGUGGGGAUGACGUCAAAUCAUCAUGCCCUUUAUGACUUGGGCUACACACGUACUACAAUGGCGUUAAACAAAGAGAAGCAAGACCGCGAGGUGGAGCAAAACUCAGAAACAACGUCCCAGUUCGGACUGCAGGCUGCAACUCGCCUGCACGAAGUCGGAAUUGCUAGUAAUCGUGGAUCAGCAUGCCACGGUGAAUACGUUCCCGGGCCUUGUACACACCGCCCGUCACACCAUGAGAGCCGGGGGGACCCGAAGUCGGUAGUCUAACCGCAAGGAGGACGCCGCCGAAGGUAAAACUGGUGAUUGGGGUGAAGUCGUAACAAGGUA
This 1487-nucleotide ribosomal RNA is filed under the name metagenome. Its description in RNAcentral is "bacterial SSU rRNA". It matches the Rfam family "Bacterial small subunit ribosomal RNA". The record is from RNAcentral.